GACCAGGUGCAGCCGACCUGCAACCUGUCGAAAUUACCGUUCAACUUUUCCACGAACGUGCAAGGCCGGGGAUCAAGGUUGUAACGAGUAAGGCCACCCUCUUCCUUGAUAUUGUCUCCAGACAAACAGGAGAAAGAACGUAACGCGCCAAUUACAUGUACAUAAAUAUGUACCUACCGUUUGGUGAAGCGGUUGAUGGCUUUUCCGCGUUACACCUCUUAAGAGUCGAACUACGUUGAACGUGGCAUUGAAGUUUCUUCGUACAGAAAUAGCUAGAUAAAUGAGCCUAUCAGAAGGACUUUGCGUACUUGUUUGAAAGAUACGUCACCGUAAUGGAGCACGUUCUAUCGAGACGAAGAAAUUCAUUUUAAUGGUGCGAUAGGUAGGAAGAUAAUCGCACGGUGUAUCCGCGGACUUACGCAAGAAGGGUGAAGAAAGCGUUCAUCGGGCAGAAUAUCUUGAAGAGGGAAUUACACAACGUUGUACAAAUGAUUCCUCGAUUGUCGUUGCGUUGGUCGAAUAUUUCAUUUCAUACAUAGGUAUGUAUGUAAGUACAUAUGUAUAUAUUUGAUCGUGUAGUUAUAUAAAGGUGCAAUUAGCGGAAUGGCUCGCGCGUUAACGAGGAAGCGAAUGGCACGGCGUAAUGAAAAAUCUUGGACGCGUUUAACGCGUUUCCGCCACGCUUCCGUCACGCCGCGCCAGCCCUAUACACGUGACGAAAGCUUUGUUCCUUUCGCGAUGUUCUCUGAAAGCGUCGUUUUAAAAUCAAGGUUGAAAAUAAGUCGAACUGUUGGUUCUUUCGUUGAUUCGGCACGAUGCCUACUGCGCCAUUGCAACCCCUCGCAGACUUUUCCAGCCGCGCUCUCAUUUCAGACGUUUUUCUUCGUAUUUUUCACAAAUAACACUCGAUAUUGCCACGUAAAUUCCGCGAAUAAAAAUGACACGUGCUAUUUGUAAACGAAAAUUUUCAUCAGUUAACGUUUCUCAAAGUUGAAAACUUGACGGACGAUGGUACUUACUUCUCUAUGUAUUUCUAUGUAUUUCAGUAGUUUAUUUUUAUUUGAAGGAAUCGCGUCAAGGCAGAAAAUGUAAUUACGAAGGAGACGUUUAAAUAGAAAUUGCGUACGCGCACGUGUAUACAUUGAUCGCGAUAAUAAACAGUCGCAGCAGCGUCUGGAAGAGCUGGCGAAAUUGCCGGGUCGUUUCAGACAAAAGAAAAUUCCGUCUGCGUUUUCAGUUUUGGCCGACAUCGCGAGAUCGAAGAGAGUAGGUAUACGUUUCACCGCGUUAAACUACAUUUCUGAUUAUUUACUUGGAAAUAGAAAUUUCAGUUCUUUGUAAUUGUAAACAAGGUACUUGAUGGAUGGCAGAAAGAGUCGAACUGUCCUUAGUUACACGACAUCGAAACGUUAGAAGUUGAGGCUCAAAUCAGAGCAUUUUCUAAUUCUAGUUUCGACCUAGAUGCCUUCCUUCAACCUAUUAACAAGCUCAUUGCGUUCACUGUCGUUCGAUGAUGGGGAUAAUGAAAUCGUUAGAUAAUUAUCAAUUUUCUUUUUUAUUUACCAUUAUCAAUUUCAAUGAUUUUUACUCAAAUAGGUAUAUAGGCUUAUUCGGCUUAAAUAUAAACAUAAAACGAAACUCAUGAAUCCUUUGGAUAAUUAACGAAACGAACGUUGGCUGUUUUCCUCUCGGACUUGGACUCGGACUCGGUCUCGGUCUCGAACUCGAAGGACUCUGUUGCUCUCCAUUCAUUGUAGAGCCUAGUGCCCAACAGGGAUAAAAUGUUUAUACGAUUCUUCGGCAUGUUUGGCACGUGGCCAGAGGAUACUGCGUGUGCAUUUCACUGACGAGAAUAGAUUCACGGGCCAAAAUCCCCCAUGACUUCUCAGUCGUCGUGUUCGUAUUGAUUCUCUCAUGGACGACGGAUAAAAGGUUCUUCAUCGAGAUCGAUGUACGCGGUGUUGCACAUGCCUAAGUUACUUACAUAUGUAAGUAUGUACUCUCUUCUUAGAAAACAAGGAAAAUGUCCUUCAUCUCUUCCCCAGUCGUCAACUUGUCUACCGGAUUCGAGAAAUGGUAACGUUUCCAAAAACGACGCGCAAUUUUAUUAAUUCUGAAUUAACGCCAACUAUGAUCUGGCAACGCGCGACAGAGGGAAACAUCCUGUGCUCCACGAAUAAUCAUUUCCGUACUCGGAAAACUUGAGAAAAAUCAUUGGAUCGUUCGGCUGGUAACGCGAUAGAAAAGAUAUGAGAAAACAUAGCUCGAUUCGCUGUAAACGAAACACGAGAUACGACAGAAUUGACCACCAGAAACUUCUUUUUUCUAGAUGGUUGUUCGAACAAGCUUCGUAAACGCGUUCGGCCCUAUAAAAUUUUUGGCUCUGACGUAGGUUCUUUGUGCGUUGUGUCGGUUAACUGCGCCUCCGUUUUUCGAAGAUUUUCAUAUUUACUGAGAAACUUGGACGUUCCAAUGCAGCGUCAACGAAAACGUUAAACACCGCCAACUUCUCUCUUUCUCUCUUUCACACACUCUAACGAGAAACAAUUCUCAUAUAUCAAUCUAUUGUAUUCAUUAUCUUAUUUGUUGAUUUCUUCUGUAUAUUCAUUUUACAUUUUCUUAACAAUGAAUCGCAAUUUACACUUUGAUACUUGAAAUGUUUUCAUUCUGUUGGAUGGAAUUCUAUCGUACCGUGUAUUAUCUUACACGCUUGACGAUAGAUCAUUGAUACGCAUUUAUAUUUGAUAAAAUCAGUCGUAAUUCGUGUCAGUUUCGUUGCAGCUAAUUUCGAAUCACUAAUCGUAAGACGUGAUUUGGUAAAAAAAAAAAAAAAAAAAAAAAAAAAA
Osmia lignaria (orchard mason bee) is the source of this 2846-nucleotide long non-coding RNA. RefSeq lists it as uncharacterized. NCBI's taxonomy places the organism in Eukaryota, Metazoa, Arthropoda, Insecta, Hymenoptera, Megachilidae. The record is from RefSeq and is a predicted model, not a curated record.